Molecule: unclassified non-coding RNA, 610 nt
Filed under: Hevea brasiliensis (rubber tree)
Lineage: Eukaryota; Viridiplantae; Streptophyta; Magnoliopsida; Malpighiales; Euphorbiaceae
Source: RNAcentral
CCAAACUGAACAAGAUUGCUCACCAACCCCGGCCCCAAGUUAGUGGUGAUUAUAUCUUUGGUUGCUUCACCAAAGGCAAAGUAACCCAGAACCCCAAAUCCUCCAUACAACAGAGAAAUGAAUGCCAUACAUAAUCCCAACACUUUUCCAAACUUGUCCUUGUCCUUUGCCUCAGAUUCUAAUGGCAAUCCCAUGCCAAUCCCUUCAAAGGCAUAGACAGCCACACCCAAACCAUAAAAGAAAACAGAAAACCCACUAAAAGCCUCCAAAACAGGCUUAUUUUUUAAGAAGGCAACCACAUCCUCCACCAUCACCACACCCAUAGCUCCAAGAUCAACCACAUCAGCAAAAAUACUCAGAGGAGCCAAAUGGGUCAGUGUUGGAAUCGAAUUCAAGCCCAACUGGAAAGGAAAACAACCCCAUAUAUACAAAGACUUGGGACUUAAAAAACCCAGAAUUUUUUCAUUUGAUUGACGAUUAAAAACAUAGGCUAAAGUGUUUGCGAUGAAAAUGAGAUAGCUAACACAAAACCCAGCUUGUGCAAGGACGAUCAUGGCAUCCACAGCAAAACGACCAACGGGACCACAAACAGUAUAGCCCAGAUCACCAA